This 1080-nucleotide long non-coding RNA is filed under the name Malus domestica (apple). Its description in RNAcentral is "long non-coding RNA (MDOM_LNC011479)". The record is from RNAcentral. Lineage: Eukaryota; Viridiplantae; Streptophyta; Magnoliopsida; Rosales; Rosaceae.
UUAUCACAAAAAAUUAGAAGGAAAUGCAUUGCAUGAUAGAUAUAACUGAUUUAAGUUGAUUAUAUAGCGAGCUGGCAAACAUUGUAAGUGUAGAAAAUAUGUAGUAAUUAAUGAAAGAAGUUUAAAUACACCAUAAUCAUUUAUAUAUAAUGAAUUAGUACAAUAUUUUACACUUUAUACAUUGCAUGGUAAGAUACAUGAGUGACUUAGCAAGGUUUAAAAUAUCGAUGAUAUCGGAAAUAUCAGUAAUCGAAAAAAAUAUCGAUAGUCCAGAAACACGAAAAUUUCGAUGGAAAUAUCGGAAUAUUAUGAAUAUUUUAGACCAUGCUAAAUUUGAUGCGUAGUGACUUAUUUACUAAGUGUCAGUGUGUCACAUCAAUAUAUAUAUCUCAGAGUUGUAGAGGCCUGCAGCCAUUAUUUUAUUUAAUUAAAAUGUAAAGCUCCUGCAGCUACAGAGUUCUAUGUCAGUGUGUUGAUCAUUCUUCUCCCUCAAGUUUCCCCCGCUCCUCCUCGUCGAGUUUAGUUGCAAGUUAUGACCUAGACUUACGAUCAUUUUCCUUUCACGGGUUCGAUUUGGAUUAAUUACCUCAACUGAACCCAUCCGUCAUCUGAAAUCAAUUUUUUCUACAUGCAGCAAAUUUGAAUUGAACUGUGAACAAUGCUUGUCUCCUAAAAGAUAAAAAGGAAUAACUUCUCAAAUAUUUGAUUGUUUAUUUAUAGAAUUUUAUGUUUAUAAUUAAAAUUAUCCAUAGUAUAAAUCACUUAGUAAAAAUAAAUAAAAUCAAUGUCAUUUAAUCAACCUGUAGGUCAUAGAUUAAAAAUUUACAAUGCUUUUACCAAUUUUGAUCACCUGUUUGUACAUGAUUCGAUGACUAAACGAUCUUUAUUUUAUUGAUUUUUUGUAUAAAUGAUCUUUACAUAAUAUUGAUAAUAUGAAAUAUUUCAAUCAUAAUCAUAAAAUUCUGUGAGUCAACCAUAAAAAUGCUUUGAGUAAGAGUUAUGUCACAGCCCGUCCCGGAGAUGUACGUUAAUUAUUUAUCGGAAGUGUGAAAAGUCGGAAUUACCGUUGGACGUUAAGUU